This 176-nucleotide small RNA is filed under the name Eubacteriales Family XIII. Incertae Sedis bacterium. RNAcentral's name for it is "6S RNA". Lineage: Bacteria; Bacillati; Bacillota; Clostridia; Peptostreptococcales; Anaerovoracaceae. The record is from RNAcentral.
AAUAUCCUGAAGUUCGCGUUAAGGCUGUUAUUUAUCCUACAUCUUCAUACACGGGACCGCCGGGUCGCCCGGCCGCUGUCGGGCCGGCUUGACCGGAUGGCAAACGCCGGGCGCAGGGAACCCACUUAUCAAUAGAUAAGGUAUGAAUUGCAGUCUGACGGUCCUUCGGGAUUUUU